AAGUCGUAACAAGGUCUCCGUAGGUGAACCUGCGGAGGGAUCAUUAACUUGUGAUCAGAUGAAAUGUGACAGCAAUGUCAUGUUUCAUCUAUCAACCAAAACAAACAAACAAACCCCGUGCAUUUGAGUAUUCAUUUACUCAUUUCCAGCCCCGCAAUUGAACCGCGUAACGGAGCAUUGAUUUGCUGACCAGUGGCGUGUACACCGUUUGCAAUGGCUUGCUUCACCGCUUGCCUGGUGUUCCCCACCUCGUGUAGUAGAUUCGGACAACUUUACCAUUUCUUAACAAACAUAUUUCACCCAUUCGUACAACCAUUGACUGAAACGAAAGGUGUUUUUUAACCGAAACGCCUACAUUCGAGUUUAUUCGAAAUCUAAGCACAACUCUUAGCAACGGAUAUCUUGGUUCUC
RNAcentral lists this unclassified non-coding RNA (411 nucleotides) under fungal sp. Its description in RNAcentral is "partial internal transcribed spacer region". The stretch from base 1 to 46 matches the Rfam family "Eukaryotic small subunit ribosomal RNA", at positions 1786 to 1831 of the family's 1831-position model. The record is from RNAcentral. Lineage: Eukaryota; Fungi. RNAcentral also lists the same sequence under 1 other name.